This is a long non-coding RNA of Pseudopipra pipra, 21644 nucleotides long. RefSeq lists it as uncharacterized. The transcript has 2 exons. NCBI's taxonomy places the organism in Eukaryota, Metazoa, Chordata, Aves, Passeriformes, Pipridae. The record is from RefSeq and is a predicted model, not a curated record.
GGAACCGGGCUCGGUGGGCGUGGCGAGGGGUUGGUUGGCCCCGCCCCGCCGGCCGUUGCGCGCGCGGCGGGGCGGCGCGUGCCGCUGGGCGCGUGCCGCGAGCGCCCCCCCCCCCCCCCCCCCCCCCUCCCCGAGCCCCCUCACGGCCGGGGCGAAGCGGGAAAGGCGCGUCGCGCGCUCCCUGAGGGCUGAGGCGGGACCGGCCCCUCAGGGGAGAGCCGCGGCGGGACCCGCGGAAUCAGGGGACAGAACGAAGGAAACCCACCCUCCCCCGCCGAAGCCAGGGUUUCAUCGCCCGGUGUUCUCGGAGCGGCCUCCUUGUGAAGGCGCUGUAAGUCGGCAGUGUCGGAUUGCUCAGUUUGUUUGUCGUCCCAACACACGUAGUGAGGUGUCAGUCCAGUCAUGAUGGACAUCAGAAAGUAUUUCCCCUCCGCAUUUCUGCUCGAAAGAUGACAAGAUGGACAAGGAGGAGAAAGAAGUGCCUGUCAUUCAGCAAGGACAGCAAAGGAUCCUGAAAGCUGAACAGUGUUUCCAUUGUUUUAACACAAGCUCUGCUUCUCCACUGGAAGAUCCAAAUGACAAGGACACUGAGGGUUUCUUUCUCUUUGCUGUUUGUUUCCCUAGUAACAAAUACACAAGCUGCACUGUUAGAAUACCAUCCUUUUCUCUUCUUUUUUUUAAUUUUUUUGAAGAUCAAGACAUGUCGAGGAUCUAUUCAGUGCGCCCAGUAGCAGGUUAAGGUUGCUGGUACGAAUGAACCUCUGAUACAGCAUGAGGUACUUGAAAGUACUGCAUGUAGUCAGUGGCUGAGACAGUGAAAUAACUUUAAAAGCAUGGAAGAAAAAUGCUUGCAUCUCAAUUUCUAUACUGUUUAGGUUAUAAACUCUUAGGGUGAAAUCUGCCUUUCACAGCAGAGCUCUGAUUUGCUUAGCAAAGCAAAUGGCACAGUACUACUAUUAAAUCACAUGUAAUGUCCUAAUUGUAUCCCAUUCCUAUUAUCAUCAGUAACAUAAUGCACACCAUUUGAAUGUGACUGAUUUUGACAGGGACAACUCUCACCUAUGUUUUUGUUGUGAGUUCUGGAUUGUGAAACAUCUCUUUAAAUAUAAUUCUCUAAUGGGAGGGAGUGGUGCUGCUGUUUCCUGUUAGGAUUCUAGUUGAGGUUAUGGUAAUGGUCUGUAGUUGUGGAAUUCACUGGGUUAUGAGAACUGGAGAGAUGGAAUGCAGUCAUUGUCUGCGUGGUUUAGCACAAUAGAAAUAGAAUCAGCAGGGAAUCUAUCCAAAACCAUAAAAAGCCAUUCAGAAAACAAGACAAACUGAAAACAUGACAGGUAGAGGCAGGAAAGACCACUAGAGGCAUCUAAACUGAGAAGCAAUGUCUGGAUCAUUCUUUCCUUUGCUCCUUCAGAAUAUGUUAAGUCUCAAAAGCUUGGAGACUUUAACCAAAUUUUUUUAAAAUUGCUUGGUCUUAGAAUGUCAAAUUCUGGUUUCUCUUGUUUUAGCUGAAAGAAGACCACUGAAAGAAAAAAAAAUCUUUUUUUUUUUUUUUACACUGAUUUACCUUCUUUCCUACAUGCUUGCCAUGCAUGUGAGCUUAGUAAUGAAAAACAAAAAAUCUGAUCUUCUUUUCAGAGUUACUUAGGUUUGUAACAUUGUGUUCUCCAAAGUUCUCCAAGGAAAAGAAAUACGCAUUUAUUUCUCUGGAUGUGGCCGCAGCUGGUCUAGAGAGUGUAAUGUAGAAAUAACUGACAAAAUUAAUAUCAAACUUCUGAUUAUAUAACACAAAGAUAUUACAUUAUGCAUUAAUUGUAAGCCAGCUUUUUUUUAGGUCAUAAAUUAUACUGGUAUUUGUCACAGUGUAUUUUACUUACAUGUCUGGAACUGCAUGUAUAGGGAGGUAUUUCAGGUGAGCAAAUAAUUUAGUAUCUUUUCAUUUGGGAUGUUUUUUGAAAUCAGUAGAAGUGACUAUUAAAUUGUCCUACGUAUGCCAAUGUAAAACCUGCAAACCCAGAAAAGAUGCAGUGGAACUGCAUCUUCAGUGUAUCAGGGAAUAUCAAGCAAUAUGAUCAGCUGUCCUGAAAUACUUUGAUGUCUCAAGCUAUCCUCAAGUGGAGAAUAGGCAGAAGAAUUUAUUCAGGGGCUAUGAAUCAAACAAAUCUGUAUCAUGCUUUUUAUAUGAUGUAGACAUCUGCUCAUAUACAUAUAAAUGGGUGUGAUGUGGAAAAAAGUAUCAGCCAGUUCUAGAUACCUAAUUCAGAAGAAUAUAUAUUCUCUCUAAUCAGAUGGUUGAAAUACACCCCACCAGAGGGCAAUUUGUCAUCUGCAAAAUCUGCAUUGCUCUGUUCAUCCCCACCAUCACUGUAGAAGAUCUACUUUAUCUAUUGUGUGGCUUUUGAAAUAGCAAAACCAGAUGUUAAUUAAACUUUUCUAAUGUUCAGACUGACAGAUGUACAAGUGUCCUGCCUAAGGCAGAGAAGCUCACCAGGGAAUUAGCCAGCAUACAAACCCUUCAAGCUUCAGCAUGCCUUAGUAGCUAGGUUAAAUUCUAUUUAUUUUCCCCCCUGAAUUUGUUUUUUAAUACUUAAAUAUCAACUUUCACUAGAAAAUCUAGACCUUUCUCUUCAGGCUAACAGUAAGAGUUGAGUUUUGUUAUAUAUUUCUUUUGGUUUUUAAACAAAAAUAUAAGGCCAACAAAAAGAGUCAUCUUGAUAUAAGCACAGUAAUGAAAAUGGUGAUCAUAAGAACAAGUGACAGCCAUUUUUAUUGUUGAAAAUUGGUUUUUGUACUAACCAAGCUGUGGAGAGGUGAAGUUGUGUCUGUCCUCAGAAGCAGAGGCAGCUGCAGGAACUGUGAGCUACUCACCAGACUGGGUAAGUGGGGAGGCCCUGCAACUGUUUGUUUCUGCUUUUCCUGCUGGCUGUUGUUGGCUUUGCUGAAAGCCUCAAGAGCAGAACAGACAAUUGUAGAUACACGUGUGUAUCCCUCUUUCUCUCAAACUGACAUGUUUUUCUAAUGGGAGAAUUUAUAAAGGUUCCAUUUGUGUUUGUAUCUGGCACCGACAAUCAAUUACAACUUCUGGAACUGGAGGAUUCACAGGUCAGGACCAAAAGGUGAGAUAAAGUAAAGCAAAGUCCUAAAAGUGGGUGAAGUCCAAACACGAGUGUUUUGACUCAUUCUAAUAUGCUUUAGACUGUUACAAAAAAAGAUUCAGGACCAAAAAGCAGUACCAAAAAUAUACAUUAAAAGGUCUCUCUAUUUUAAUUAAAACUGUAGAUCUAGGCAGUGGUUUAAGGUGCACAUUAUAUCUCUCAGUCCUAACUCUAGAAUUGCAAAUCUUACUGUCUGUGUGCAAUCUACCUCAAAUAUCUGUGUAUGGGAAAUAAGCAUAAGCAUUUUAUGUAUCAAAUACGGACUUGUUCUAAUAGUUAACAUCGUGAAAGCAUACCAGAGAUGGAAAACAGGAUGAAACAGUAGGCAGUCUUUACAUUUGUCUGCGACCUGUUUCAGAAGUCACUAUUUGGACCUAAUUUCUGAUGAUGAAAAUGCACUGGUGUAAGUGACUGAACUGGACACAAUCUGUCAGUGAACAAGAGCCCUACCUACUAUCUGUUACAGUAGUUCUGUAACCUCCCCCUCACCUCUGAAAAGGAAGCAGUAGUUAUUUUAAGAUGUCCCAAGCUGCUUUGCAAAGGGCAAUGUCUAGAUCAUAUCCAGAGCCUGAAAAGACAGAAGUAUUCUGAGCCCCUGCUGGUGGCUGGGUGAUUGUGAAUGCAGAGGGCGGGGGGCUGUGCCUUCAGCGAGGCUGUACGCAGGAAUCACACUGCACUUACCAGAGACUGGAAAUGGCAGCAGCAGUUUUCCAGCUCUUCACUCCGGGUAAGUAAAUUGCACAGUGCAGGGGAAUAUUUAGUAUGCAAACAAGAGUGGCAGCACAAUAAACCAGCACAACAAACACGUACAAACUAAUUGCACUUGAUGAGGACUCUAGCAUUUAAGGCACAAAAGCUGAUGCUGGCAGGGAUUGUCUGCAUUUAGCAGUAAAGAAGGCAGAAGACAUGUUUCUCUGAGGCAAAAGGAAAAUGUAGUAGAUUAAAGAGAACUACAUAAGCUUUUCAAUGUACAUAUGCAUAUUAAAAAAUCCACCUUUAUGCAGAAUUGUCAUCUAUUUCAUGCAGCUACCAUCUUCUUGGCUGAUUGUUGGCCAGCUGUUGCUUAUCUGAGAAGUUAAACCUGUGCUUUGUGAGCUGUAGAAAAGUAGAGAUUAAUUUUCUGUUGAUACAUGUUUUGUAAAAUCACAUUCUGCAUAUGCUUGCCUAUAUAUGCAAAACAGUUGGCUAGAGGCAGGGAUUCAACUUUUUCUGUUUUAGGAUUGUUCAGUUUCCUUUUGUUUUCUUUCCUCUCUGAGAUGUGUUUCUCAUCUUAAAACCUAGACAUAUUUCCAUCUUCGUUUUCUAUCCUGUCCAGAUUAGGGCAUCCAGCACAAGCAUAUUCUGUCGUUUCACAGAUAACUAGAGCCAGGGGAUUACUGUAAUCACGUGGUACAACUCACUGCGAGACAGAAGCCAUGUGACUAGUGAUACUACUGGUCAUUUAAACCUCAGCAUCCCCUAGGGAAACCUCCUAGAAUAUCCUGUCUCUACAAAUUGUUAAUUCCUACUUCCAAUCCUUAAUUACUCUCAUUGACAAAUAUAUACAUAUUUCUCCCUUGAAUGUAUUUAGUUUUAUCUUUCAGCUGUUUUUUCCUUCAUCUCUGUAAGACAGAGGAGACAAUAGGACUCACUGUAGACAUAAGAGCAAGUCAUCCUUUUGAGUAAUAGCAUUUUAUAAAGCACAUUUUUCAUUUUCUAAGUUGUUUCUGUAUCUCUUCUCAGAACCUUCUCCAAGUUAUCAAAUAGUUUCUUGAGCUGUGGAUUCCAGCAGCCAUUUUUGUCCCUACCAAGCAUGGACUGUCCUUUUCCUAUUUAGACAGUCACAUUAUCAUAUCUAUUUGUUCACUUCAUUGCCAUUGAUUUUUCAUUGGGAUCCCCAAAGGUGUUUCAGAAUUGCUGUUCCCACUUCAAAAACAGGAAUACCUGCCUAUUCCCACCUUUCUUUCUAAGCAAGGAGAUUUUUGAAAAGUUUAAAGCCCAGAGAAGCCUUAUAGAGAAUGAAACAAAAUCUCGCUGAGUGUAUUACCUUCCCUGGAUUACCAAUAGCAUUCCAGAUACAUCAGUGACACUGAGUUCUUUUUUCCUUAACUUCUAACACCACUUUCAAUAACUUAUUGGGAGCACAUAGUAACACUUCUCUAAUUGCUUAAAUGAAAGUUAAGCAAAUUGCUUAAAUGAAAUUAGAUUUGAAAAUCACUGAUGUAUAAGAGAAUAUAAGCAAAAUGGACUUUUGGGAAGAGAUUACAUGGUAAUUGGUCUAAUAAAAAUGUUAGCCCACCCUAAACAUCCCGUCUUAGAGAUUUUUUAAGACAAUGAUAGCUUACAUAAUGCUAAGAAAAUAUAUCUGUUACCAAUCCAUCAGCCUCACAGCAACUAUUCUAAUAUAGUUAGCUGUUUGAAUAAACAAUAUAGGAAAGAUAAAAUGAGUGCUACAGAUGUUUAACUUUGGUCUUUUCUACAAGCAGUACCAUUGUGCAGAUCAUAAGCUGUACAAACAUAUCCAUUUUUAAGUCAAAAGGAGUGGGAAUGUGACCUCCUGUUCACUUUAAUGAAGAGUUCUGCUACUGAGGAUCUUACUGAGAGGGGAAAGCAAACCCAAAGUUAGCUAACCGAUGGUAAAAACAUUUUCAGCUUGUUAGUGUUUUCUCCUGAAUCAGGCCAGACAUACCAUACAAAUUAAAACCUUGGCCACACUCAGGACGCAUCUCUUUUCAAGAACGACUAGCAGUUCCCCUGGAGUUUUUCACAGAAGACAAAUUUCAUUUCAUUUUCAGAGGUUUCCUUAGUAAAGCAAUACUCCAGGAAAAAACACAUUUUGAUUAGGAGGAUUGAGUUCCCGUGGGAGUCAGGCUAUUGUUUACAGGGCAUCACACUAUUCUCUGGAAUUAUGUGAAGACAGAUUUAAAGGGCUGAUUCUUUUUGCAACGUUGAGAUGAAUACACGAAGUAAAAAGUAAUGUUGGCCAUGGAAAUUUUCUGAGAAGGACAAAAAUAAAAGCUUUUAUUGGUAUGAGUCUAGUGCAACUUUGAAGCUAAGUGAGGAGACUGAAGAGAAGAACAGUAAUAACAGGAAAAAAACAUAGAUGCUCUGUAACUAUCAGAGCACAGGGUUGUACGCUGUAACUUGACACAGCAGGCAGGCCUAACUGCUGAAUUUCUUUUUAAUAACUUAUCUAAAAAGUGUCUGAAAAGAUUGCUGAAAGGAGAAUGUACAGAGCAUUCCUGUCUUCCUGUCCUGCUCAUUGGGAUUUUCACUCUUAUAAGUUCACUGUGGUAGCUGCUAGAGCUGCCUCUGCUGAUUUACUGCUUGUAUUGACACAUUUGAUUCUCUAAGAUUAAUUAACUCAAGGGCCUUAAUUGCCACCCUUUAAUUUUUCCCUCGCCUUAGUCUUUCCUACUUUCUUUUUCUAAAGUCAGUGUGCUGGCUUAAAAGUAAACCGGUGGGAGAAAUGAACCCAACUCUAGAGAGACUAUAAGUCAGAGUCACAAUUUACUAAAAAAAUAAAUUACAAUAGAUGAAACGAUACAGAGAAAAACUGGUUUUAACCCACAAAAACAGAUGUAUAACCCAGCUCUCUAGGACAAGAACAGAACAGUGUUCAUUAGCCCCUGUGCUGAGCACCACGUGGCUCCCCUGGGUGCAAAGUAAAAAGAAAGGAAAACCUGUUGGUCCAGAUGAUGGUGGCAGUUCUGCUGAGAUAAUGAUCCUGUCGAGAGUGGCAGUCGUGUUGGAGUUCUGGUCCUCCUCUCGAUCCAGGAGUGGUACCAGAAGUCUCAAACCCCCAAGAGUAUAUGUGCUCAGGUUCAGGUGGGAAUGUCCAGCACCUCCCUCAGGGCAGGGAGUUUCCCAAUGGGCGAUUUAACUCUGUGAAUCUUGGGAUAUUUUUGGAGGCUUUGAUGGUCUGGGUGUUGCAGCUGCCUGUUCUGCCAGUCCGGUAAUGGCCCAUUAGCAGAGACGGCCCCUCAGGCUGGGUGUGAAGGUGCUAAUCCCUCCCCGGAGGGGAGUUAUCACAGCUGAGUCAUUAGGUGUGCUCUGGGCAGCUGCUGCAAAUGAUCCAUUAUUAACAGUCCAUCAGAAAUGACAGAGGGUGUGGAAUCCACAGUCCUGGUUAUACCCACGUGGUAAUAAACUGGUCCUGGCCCCUGUAACUAGGACAGUCAGUUAAUUCCAUAAACCCCUGGAGAAUGCAACUAGGUCUAAAGACUAGUUUUACUUAGAGUCAAGAAAGAAGCAUUAGUGAUUUUUAUUUUUCUUGAUCAGAUUACCUGUACGUUUCAUUUGUGGAUUGGAAUGAGUUAGAUAUCAAUUCUAUACCUUAAAUACUAGAUAUUUCUGAUUUUUGUUUCUCCAGUGGAUUUUUAUUUUCUCCAAGUCUAUCUCAGUAACUCAGAAGUGAACAAUCCUCUUAAAGCUGCUGAAGGAUUUGGAGACAAUACAGCCUGAAACAUUUUCUGUAACUGGGAAGGUGUGCCUGGAACUGUACUGGCUCCAUCUUGUGGCCGAAACUGUACGGAUUCUUUUGUAACAGGUUGACUCUUCUCAUCAUCAGCCUUAUAUAAGUAUUGAUAAAUAACUGUGUGUGAACUUCCUUUAUAACUUUUAGAACAAACGGGCCAAGUGUUUCUGAUAACAGAGAAAUGGGGAGACAGGUUAAGGACAAGAUCAGCUCAGGCAAGCACUGCUCGUUUCCCUGUGCAGCACUAUCAAUCACAGCGUUUGGUCACACCCUCCCCCUUACCUUUAGAGGAGCCUCAGCCAGGGAGAGGGAGAACAAGCAUCCACCCGCACUUUUUGACUCCAACAAAACCAGAUACUUUUCAAUUAACCUCUUCCUGCCAUCCCUGAACUAGAAGCAGUGUAUCCAGAAGUGCCCUGAUUUGGCUGCUCGACCACCCAAACCAUGAACUCAGCACAGCAAAGGGCAAACCACACAGCAGGAAUUACAGAGGGCUGCCAGCACCCAGGCACACAGCUCAGCUAGUCCCUGGUUCAUAGCCCAGUCAGGUAUGUUCACAUUUUGGUGUAUAGCACAACUAUAUAUUUUCUUCCAGCCGCAGUAAAGGUAAAUAGUUCACUUUUAGCACCUUCAGUGCUGGCAGCAGGAAGGCAGUGAGCUACCAGGGCGUGCUGGAUAUUCUGUUCUGUUGGGUAUCAGCUUGUGUGUUGCUGGAUAGAGCUUCUAAAAGGCACAGUAGAAACCGCAUUCAUCUCUCUAAAAAUAUUCCAGAGAUGCGAGAUUGCAGAGAUAAGAGAAUACAAAUUAUAUUUCCAGAAACUGGUACAGGGUUGAUUACUGGUUAUGAGGCAGGAUAAGGCUAGCUGCACAUGUAUUUUGGAAGUCUUAAUAUAAAAGACACAUCCCAUGAUCCCUAUGAUGUGGAAGUAAAGAAAGUGCCUGUUUCCAAGGAGUCACAGGCCCCAGCAAAAAAAAAAAAUAUGCCUGGUAAGAACAGCCUCUCUUGCUAUGUCAUACACAGCAUCCAUGAUAUCCAAGGGUGAGCGACAAAGCAUCUUCACUCUGUAAUGUCAGUGCCAAGCUGAAGCACAUUCCAUAUCUAGAAUGACAUUUUACAUCCCCUGCAGAUGUGCUCAGAAAUCGGAAAAAAAGUGCAGGUUUGCAAGACGGGCACAGAAGGAGUUAAUAGUGUCAAAGUCUCAGUCUUCUACUGUACAUCAUAUGCAUUUCAUAAAGCAAAUUUGCUCAGAGCUGUGAAGAACUCUUUGCUACAUUUUGUACCAAGAAAAAAUAUGUGCAUUAAGUGUGCCACUUGGUCAGAAGGCACCAUGCACACAGUGCAGACCCAGUGGGCUCUGUGCUGUGCCACACAGCUGCUGAAGGCUCACUCUGCACUGCUCUGGUACUCAUGUGUCUGUCACAAUGUUUUCUGAGCCUGGGCAGUUUUUGUAGCCCAGGAAGGCAGCACAGGGAAGAGCACAGAAGAGGAAUGGAGUGGCUGGGCUGUUGCAGCCAUGGCAUGGUUAGUGUUUUAAAUGCCUGGCACAAGGGUGGGAGGAAGCUAUAAAAGACCCUCUUACAUCUGCUCGAGACAGCAGCAUCCAACUGUGCAUAAAAGUUCCCAGGCAUGUGUCAUAGAGUGUAAUAACAAUUACUUAAAAUAAAGACAGAGGUAAUGCUGCUGCUUCCCAGUGCAGGUAAUGCAAUGCUUCAGCAGUGCACAGGAUGGAAGGUAACAGAGGGGUGAAAUGCAAAUAUUGCAAUGCCAUCUCAACCAGUAUCUGAGUUCUGGAGAGGCUGGCACUCAGGUGGAUCAUAUCCACACUAGCUGGGGGUCACAGUCUUCGGAAUCCUUUUCUGCAUCAGUAUAGUGCAAAAAAGUUCUGCUAAUGCUGGCAUGCCAUGCAAAGCAACUGUCACAGAUGCUCUUGUCCUUUGCUUUUCUGAAACCCAUUUUGUGUCCUGGGUUUUUGUUUUGUACUCCCUGGGAUCCUUGUCAAGACCCUGUUCAGCUAGAAAUAUCUACAUUCCAGUGCCUCAUUUCUGGGGUAUCUCAAACAUUUAAGUUCUGAAAAAAAGUCACCUGAGGCCUCUGCAAAGCUCAAGGGGCCACAGGACACAACCAAACCAGUUGCUCUGGCAGGAGCCCACAAGCACAAGGCAACGUAACUGAUACUCGUCCUUUUGUGAGGUCAAAGAAUUGCAGAGCAGACCGUGUGCCUGUCUGAGAAGGGGGGAAGCAGGGCAUGGAAACCUUCAGUAAAGUUGGAACCAGCAUCAGUAUCCAGAAACUUACUGCUGCUAAAAACAAGAUUCUGCAAUCCCUGGGAUUUGUUACAAGAGCGAAACAAGUGUCACAUCCAAGCAGGGGGCAUAAAACACAGCAACAGUCUAGUAAAGGUAAUUUUUCAUGUUACAAGCUAUAAUGGUGUUCUCUUAGUCCUUUAUCUUGAAUUGCUUUUUUGAUACUUCUGCCAGGAUGUGUGAAGCGGGUGGAUGGACACGUGAAGAACAGAUUGUACAAAGUUUGACAAGCCUAACUAGCAUAAUAAUCAUAAUUAAUAUUCAUAUUAAGAAAGUUCCCAGUGCUGCUGUGCUUCAUUCCUUUCAUGGUGGCGUGCUUUAUUUGUAGGUGGAUGGAAUUGCCUGGACCCACACCAGAAAUUGGGGAAAAAAGGGAAGAAUUAUCAAAUCAGUCAUACGCAACAAAAUUUUCUUUUAAUCCUCAUUUAUACUGCCUUGACCAGUCAUAGGGCACACCCACUGUGAGAAUCAGACUGCUUAAAAAAACCCAACACAACAAAUAACCAAAUACAAAAGAACCCCAAAACCUACCACAUAAAGAUAUAAAUCAUUCCCUUACAGUUUCAGAGGUACGUUCACGCUCUAACCUGUUGCUAGGUUAGCCUUUGACAAGCACUGGAGCUAUAAUUCUGGAAGACUUAUAUUUUUCAGAACGCUAGAGGAAUUAUUAUAAAUUUGCGUGUUUGACUGUCAUCAGCAAGGUUUUUAUUUGCAUAAAUGCUAUUCAUGGCAGCUUUCCCCCAGCAGAUGGCAUGAGUACAGCCCGUGAUCAUCCCGACAGCUCUGCAGUUACUGGGCCAGGCAGGAGAGCUUUGAAGCACAGAGCCUAAGCUACGGUAAUGCUUUUCCACCUCCUUCGACAGCUUUUACUUGGAUUUUCACGGAGGCAAGGUUUCUAGUGGCAGGCUGAAUGAAAGGUUUCAUUACAUCAUUUCUAGGGUCAAUUUUAUCUCUGUUCAUUUUUCUGGAGACUAUUAUAUCACCCUGUUGCUGAAAAAUCUGAUGAAAACAAAAGUGAUCCAAGGAUAAAUUUCAUGUCUAAAUCUCUGACUUGGGCUGCUGUAAGAAAACCACCACGGCAUUGGAAAAACCACUGAGCAGUGUUGUAACAUUGCUAAUUCCCAAGCCCUGGAAGCUGACAGCCCGUGGUGUAGUCAGGGUACAGCAGCAGGGUAUAGGAAUUGUGCUCAUAGGAGAGCAUGAGCUGGGUUUACACUAUCUAUUUCCCCCAAGCUUUUUAGAUAUUAGCUAGCUCUUCACUGCCCAGGGAGGUGCAAAAGGUAUAUGGAUGUAUUUAUUAUCCUUGAACAGGUCAUACAAAGAGCGUAAUUUUUACUAGUUUACCUGAAGAUUAUUUUAUUCACAGGCAUGGAAGGCUUCACUCCUUCUGCUCCAAAAUCAAGUACAGUUAGCAAGGCAGGAUCACUGAAAUGCAAUCACACCUCUUUUCACAGUGAAAACUACUAAUGUUCGAGUGAUUCAUACAUUCAAGUAAAAUGAAAAUAUACACAUGCAAAAUUUCAGUAAUUUAACAUAAAAAUGUCUUUGUGAAUCCACUCUCAGAGCAAGUGAAUGCCAAGACAAUUCUUGAGAAUCCUGAAUGAGCACCUUAAGAGCUGAAAUGGACUCUCCUGGUUAAUUAAUUGCUAUCUUUGUUUGAGGAGGAGUGUGGCAAUUUGAAGACAGAAAUGUUCAUACAAGAAAUGCCACAGGCUUCAUUGUUGCUGCCCACCUCAAUACCCACCAAACCUGCCUGGGUUAUAAUCAACACCUUCAGACAAUCCCUGUUGCAUGCAAGGAUUUCAUUCUUUCAAGUGCAUUGAUCUGGAGACAUUUCUGGUUUCCAGUUCCUUUUUUUUGUCAGAUUUAAUUCAAAAGCUAUCAUGGACAUGACAUUUUAUUCUGAAAAGGUUGUAUUUGUUUGGAGUAUAUUUAUUCUUUGAGCUAAAUGUUCAGUUUAAUAUGCUUGCCAUAAAUGAACUUUAUUACCCCGUAUGGUAAGAGGCCACAAGCCCCUCAAAGCACAAAGUGCUUUGAGAAACCCUUUGAUCCACAUCAAGUGGAACUGUCUCCAGAUAAAUGUUUCCAUGUGCUAUUUGCCUUUUAAUUCACUUAAAUACCUUUGAAAGACUCAGGCUCCUAGGGACUGUAUGUAACAGUUGCAGGGAAAGAGAUUUAAAGGGAAGAAAUAGGUGAAGAAUUACAAAGUUGCAGUGAACUCUGCUUCCAAAUGAACUUAAAGAGUGGAAGAAGGACAAAAAUCUCAUCAGUCACAGCAAGGCAUCAACAAGCAUCAUAAUUUGGUCUGUACCAACAGGAAAAACAAGGGGAUGAAGCCAGAGGGCCAUGGAAGAGGCUGAUUCCACAUGGAAGAGGCAGCCCGACUGGAGGAACAGUGCUAAGGGCCCGUGUUUCCCACAGCAGAUCCCUCAGCUCCUCCGCCCCACCCGCCAUGCUCAGGCAGCUUCUCAGGAAGAGCCUGCUGCCAUGGUGUGGAGUAGGAAGUGGGUUUUACAUGCAUACACAAGAAGCUGACUGGAGCCUCAGGCAGCUGGGAAUGACAAGUUGCUUCUCCCGUUUGAGUAUUUCCUUAAAGUAUUCCAUAGGACUGGCUAUUCACUCCCCAAGGAAAAGGCAUGAAACCCCUUAAAUCUACUGCUGCACCACCCAGUGACAGGCUCUCCAUUACACAUGGACACAUGUAUUCACAAAAGCAAAUUGUACUAAAGAGCUUCACACCUGACUGCUCAUUUGCAUCUCCUCAGGACUGAUUUCUUGGAGAGGGAGGGAGCUCCUGAGCAUGUCCUCCCCCACUCCCGGCAGUCCCGCCAUCCCUCUGCCCCAGACCAGCCACUGCUGACUUUGACAACCCCAGAGAGAGCACAGCAGAGCAGCCUGUCUAUUUUCUUAACUAAAACACUGCACUUGAUGUUCUCUGCACAGGUCAGACCUCUUCCACUCUUUUCCACGACCCUCUCACUUGGAUAGGAAACAGUCAGUCCUUUGCUAGUGCCAACAGGCUCCAAGGACAAAACACCACCCCAGCAACAGCUUCCUCACCAGCUUCCAACCAUAAGUAAUCUUGGGUUCUGUACUCACUAUACAAAUGGUUAGAGGUAUUUACAUAAAACUCUAUUACUGCUCCACUGACAGUCUGACAGAAGGGCUACUUUGCUGUCAGUUGGCAAAUGACAUGGUAAAGUUCCUGCCUAGAAUGCUGUCAGUGCUGGCGUUGCCUGGAACCUGUUAGUAGGACCAGAUUGCUGCGGAGGCUGGUCAGCAAAAGGCUCCUUUUAAAAGGCACGGGCUUUCUAAUCAAGUGCCGUGCACAAGUCCUCCAGGGAAGCACAGUGAGGGCCGACAGCUGAGGUGGGGUCACACACGGACAGAGCAGCACCACAAAGAACUUGACCGUGUGUUUACAGUAAUUUUAUUUACAAGUUACCACAUGACACCUGCAGUACUACAUUUUUAACACCACUAGCAGUAAAAUAAGUCACAUUUAAGAAGAGUAGGAGGCAGCAGAGAAAAAUAUGCACAGAGAAUGCAGGAAAGCUAUUUAGUUGUAACUUAAAGCAGGUAUUUUUCUACAGACUUUGAAAGCGAGGAGGAAUACACACAUUGAGAAGAGCAAGUUCUUCAGCCCUGUUAUUUCUACAGCACAAGUACAGUGACAAUUCAGUAUGAUGACUACCACACUAGCAGUCAAAUGCAAGUGAUGGGAGAGAACUGCCUUAAUAUCUUGUCCUUUUGAGCACUAAGAAACGAAAACCAAAGCUUCCCUCUGAAAGGAGUCAUCAAGGGCUCAUUUACUUGCAGAGCAAGUAGUGCAGAAUUGCUACUGGGGCAGGAGGGAACAGAACUCAGGACUGGAGAGUUCCCAAGUUUUGCAAAUUGCCUGCAAGGUCUUAUCUGGUCUUGAAUUAAGUAGUUGGUGAGCAAAACCAGUUGCAGCAUUCCACAAGUCUUUUUACAGUGCUGUGCUCUAAGGCACAGCUUAGCAGAAUCCCAAAAUCAAGCAGAGAAAAAAGCCCUUCCGCUCUCUUAAAAUCCUUGGCUCUAGUGAUGCUGGUGUUGAGCCUGGGCCUUUCUCAAAAGGAAAAAUGUGGAGGAGCAAAUCCGGAGAAACACUCUAGACCUGGAUGUAUUCUGAUGAUAAGACUCACAAGAAAAUAAGCUUAAAGCAGCAUCAGGUGUGACCCUUUUCUGCUUCAAAGCAGCAGCUUCCAGAAAGCAAAUAAGUGUUAUCCAGGACCUGUUUUUCCCCCCAGACAUCUUUAAUAGCCUGGAGCUACUGUCAAUACACAUGAUCCAUGCUAGAGGCUGCAAAGACAAUGAGAAUACAAGCUGCACAGUAAUAAUUAUUUCCACUACUAACUACACACAGGAUAUAUUGCUUUUGGUACAAUGCCAUUUAUUGUCACAAGAAGAAAACCAGUGAUUAAGUUGAGCACACAUGAAUUAUGCAGACCUUUGCCAUGCUGUAACAAGCGUAUUUUACUUACAGAAAUGUCAACAAAUCAGCUGUAAAAACAGCUUAAUACAGUUCUUCCAAAAUACUGAACAUACCCUCAAAAACAAGUUUAUAAAUUAAGUUUAGCUACAACAGAAUAAGAAAUGACCAGUUUUUUUUUCUUAAUCCCCACUUUUGUUUGGAGCUGCACUUACUCUGCAUGAGAGCAAACACGGAAUCAAAACGCGGAGCUUUAGUGACAGCAACAACAUCCACUGAAGUGCUUCUGAGUGUGCAAACUGGCCUGCAAGUCUGGGUUCCCUCCACACCCGUGGCACACCUAGUCAGAAAGCCUGCAAAGGUACACGUGUACAAAAACUAACACAAAGCUUUUCAAAUACACAGAAUACAUUACAAGGUCUUGAGUCUAUGAUGUCUCAACUACAAGUUAGAAUAUCUGUAAGUUUUUAACUUCCAGGAACAUAGAAAGGUUUUUUUAGUCAAAAUUUCCCUUUAAGUACAAGCUAUUGAAAUUAAAGGUGACCUAGGAGAAAGGCUUGACUAAAAAAUCUUCCAGCUCUCUUAUGAUACCCUCAGUUCAGUCUCAAGCCAAAAUUCAAAAUAUUCAGCAUUUUGGCAUUUGUAGUUUUAAGGCAGAAAAACAUCUUCUCAACAAGCCAUUUAGUCUUGGAUGUUAUAAAAAACCACAACAAAACCAAACAAACAAACAACUCCCCCUAAAAAGUGCAUCUCAAGUCUUUUAGUAAUAGUAAAUUUAAAAUAAUUGCCUGGCAUUCCCUUACAGCUUUUGGUUCAUUAUUUUUUUGCUAAAAAUCCUGAAUUUUCAGACAUGCUGAAGCACACACACAUCGUGGGUAGAGAAGACUAGUUUUCCAUUCUUAUUUCUAGGUUGUGCAUUUAAGGUCAGCAUUAAACUCGGCAGUGGAAUAACAGAUCUCUGCACUGCCAACUCUGGUGCCGCCCCAGGCACGUGGGACCGACCCGCACCGGAGCUGCUCUGCACUAUCCACACCUCCUCCCCAGAGCCAGCAGCUUAACCAGGGCCCUGGGCUCAGCUGCCUGUACCCAGGCUCAGCUCUGUGAAGCACAACUGUGUCCUUAGCUCAGCUUUACAGAAAAAAGUUAAAAAGCAAAAGCCAAACUGUGAGACCGUAGGAAUCUCCAAGUGUGCAAGGUAAGGAAAAGUAAGAACAAAGGAGUGAAGUAAUUGAAUCAGUCAUAGCAGAUAAGGGACUCUGGAGAAAAGUACCAACACAGAAAGUGUAAACCCCUGAGGAAGAGCAGUGUCACUGCAAGAGAACUCAGCGAGAUCAAAGGUCAGCCCAGUCCAAGCAGCAAGGGAAGGAGAAAGGGAGGAGCAGGAUUUCAGUCAGCAGCUAAGUGCACACAAACUCACAGACUGGGAAGAUAAACGAAAGGGUUUUUAACACUGUCUUUUUGAUGAGAAAAUGCUGCAAUACCCUGUUAAGGUAUUUCUUGCUCUUUUCAGGGAAAUCAGGAAUGGAAUACCUUAAGGCUCCUCUUUUCAGCCUUCAUGCACAAACAUAAGCACAAUGAAAAGCCAGAAGGAUCACACAUCUCUCUACCACACUAAUUAAUUAGAUGGAAAGAGGAGGAACGUCAGGAAAAAUGGGCUCUGUGUGUGUGCUGAGAGGAAGAUGAGAGGCAACUCUGGGGAAGUAGCAGGAAGUUUUCAGUAUUCACAUGGUAUUCAAGUGUUUAGUCAAAAAGAGAAAAGCUUGAACCAGGGACUGCUGGACUUCAGGCAAAAGUUCCCAACAACCACCCCAAUGGAACUCGGUUUCAUGGCCCAUGUUAGCCAAACGCAUUGUUCCUUCCUGAUCCUUAUCUCUAUUUUUAUACUGCCUUCCCAGAAAUCCACGUACAGUUACCAGAUCACAUGCUGUGCUUCCACAGGAAGAGUCUCAGGAGACCUUCCAGCUUUUUUGCUUACCUCUACCCUGGAUUUACAUGAGUUUAAGUAACGUGAUCAAUCACCUGUUGUUUGUCAUCAGGAAGCUCACAAAUCCUAUAGAAGAAAGACUUUUUGGAACAACUGGAACUUGUUCAGACGGAGUUCAAGUGCAAAGAGAAAAGUAAAUUGUCAGUAGUGAGAUAUACUGAAAAAACAGGCAGAGUUCUGGAAAACACCUGAAGGAAAGUUGUCAGUAUAAUUUAUAAAGGGGAAAGACAGAGGAGUUACAGAACAAUUCUCGCAUAUAACUCCCAAGAUCAGUCCUCACAUGAACAGCCAUGAGCAGGGCUGUGAUGGGAUGUGAACACCGGCACCUCUGGCACCUUGCCCAGCACCAGGGGGCUGUUUGCAGACUCACCAAAGCUGCCCUUGGAACCGGAGCUGAGGCUCUAGAACUCCUCUGAAGCCUGGAGAGUCACGUGUGGUGAAAAGACACAUCAGAGCAAGAAAACCAUCAACAGACACGGCACACUUGGAUGCAAUGAUGUUUGUAGGUCUUCUACACACCUCAAAAUUUUUUUUAAGCUUGUCAAGUGUAACAUAUGUGCAAUUUAGUAGAAAGAAUAACUGAAGAUGACAUGCAUGACACAGAAGCAUCUUUGGUCUGUAGAGAAAUACCUGGGUCAGAGCUCUACAAAGCUUGAUGCCAUCAGACCUACACUAGUAUCUCUUCCAAUAAGUAGGGCUUGUACUCCUUGCCAGCCUUCCUGAGUAUUCGAGUGCACCGCCUGUCCCAGCACAGGCAGCUCAGCUUCCAGAACAUGGGGGCUCUCCCUGGAACCACCAGCCCCUGCCCAAUCCACACACCCAGCUCGGGCUCCAACAGUCCAAGAGUGCCCACUACACUUGAAGAUUUACAGAUGGAGAGGAUCAGCCUCCAGUUCUGGUGAAAUACAGAAAAUCUGCGUGGUAUUUCAAACUAACCUGACUGAAACAACACGACAACAUGAAGUCGGCCAGGAUCCUGUCAAAACCUCCACGGAGCCAAGCUGCAGUGCGGCCAUACCCUGAAGAACAUGCUAUGGUGAACACACGUUCUGCCAGGGGAACAGCCACAGCCAACAAAAAGUAAGAACACACAUAAACCCAUCUAUGUCAAGAAUCAAAUUCUGUAGUAUUUUGGGAAAAAAUUCUGUAUGCUGCAGUGAAAGCCAAAGAGGGGAUGCAGAGAUGCAUUUUGACAAGCCAAUUCUCAGAGCUGUAACAGAGCUGUCAGUUACAGCUAAGCUCUCUUUACUUUCAGGUCACAUUUUCUGUGUUUUCAUAUUAAUUAGAGAUGUUUCUAGCUGACAUUAUCCAGCUACAUCUUUCAAGAGUUCAGUUCUUUGGCAUAGUCUGAUUUUAGGCUAAAAAAAAUUCAAAAAAAUUAAUUAAAAGCCUAUGACAGUGAUGUAACUUACUUGCACUUCUCCCAGAAACCCCACAUUUUAAGCCCAUGGUCUGCGAAGAACAUUUUUGUACUGAAAUGAUGAAAAAAUGGUCUCUAAGGGUUGUGCAAGUAGCAAUUUUCGAGAUUUCGUGGGAACAGUGUAAUAACCAUAUAAAGAGUGUCAAAAAAGCCUGUGACCAUCAGAUACACUGGAAUCAAUUCGCAUCACUGUGCUCACCAAGUCAAAAUGCUGAUGAUUUCCUUGCACAAAAGAUAAAACAUUUCUGCCUGUCUAUAAAGAAACUUCACCUGUGGUUUGUUUGGAUGGCUUCCCUAAUUUAAUUACAAACUGGUACAGUUCUACAGUGAGACACACACUCUCUUGAGUAUUUACAAACACUGACUGCAGGCUGCUUCUUGUGCAGGGAGGGUCAGUUUUGGAUAAGCCAAUAUGAUCCACCCCAGCCUCUGGACCAGCAGCUCGGGGCCAAGCAAAGUCCCAGUCAUUCUAUAUAUGCACAGAACUAUGCUGGUUUGGUAAUACAGGGACACAAUUUAAUGAUUUUCUUUGCAUUUGUUUUUACAAGAUUCAGAUGCCAAAAACAAAACAGAACAUUAAGUUACCUGAUUUAAAAAAGAAAAUCACAAACGUUUACAACAUCAAAAGAAUAAGACGAAAUAUAAACCUUUGCUACUUACAAUUGAUCUAUACAGAUUAACCAAAUCACAAAUCUGUCACAAUAUAAAUGUUUAAUUGUUACAAUGAAUAAGAACAUACAGAAAAUGAUUUAUUUUUUUUUAUAAAAUCUUCCUUUGCUUUUUUAUUUUAAACUUACCAUUAACUAAAUUAGCUAUGCAGGACUUGUGGGGUACAUGACUAAGAAGGCACCAACAGUACAAAGCAAAGACAAAGCAGUUUGAGUAUUUUAAGAGUGCUCUACACUGAUACAACACGAGAAAAGGCAACAAUAGUAAGUAAACCAGCUGCAACCUGUAGAAGUUUGUUCUAGAUUUACAUAUGUAGUCCAACUUUUACAUUUCUGCCAAUGUGUCACUUGGUUUGAUCACAGCACAUGCUACAAAAACCACUGUAAGCUUCACUUUACUAAUGUGCACUUUUCGCUAAUUUAGUGUCUUGAUUUCAAUUGUUAACUAAACCAUUUUGAACCACAAAUGUAUUUAAAACUUAGUAAAAGGAUUGUUUGGACUUUUUCAUUUAAACCACUGCAUUUACAAAAAUAUUUCCCCUAAAAUCUGGGAUUGCUUGAAGACAUUGCUGUACAAAUAUAAAAGUACUAUGCAAGGGACCAAAUUCAUAAGUAUAUGGUGUGUAUGUAGAGACCUAUAUUUAUACCAUAUCACUGUGCUGUAACAACACAAUAAAUUUAUCAAUAACCAAGGACUAUAUAAACUACACUAACAUAAGCAAAUAUAUAUUAAUAAAGUUUAAAUCUAUAGUACAGUUGCUCAGCAAACAACUUUGACAUGGUAUAAAUAUAUCGUAGCAUAUUACAGUGGGCAGCAACAACAGGUUUUAGUUUCUCUCAUCCACAAGGAAAGCCCUGCUCAGCUCCUCGGGUUUGGCCACUGCCCAGUUAUGUCACCAGUGUUGCUCCCAAGCUCUGGCACAAACCAGGCUCUGGUGUCAUGUCACAGGGGUGAGGAAGAGGCUGGAAACAGGCAGGGCAGCAGAGGCAGACACUUAUUUGCCAAAGCAUCCAUGAGAAUUUUGGGUUUGCAUAUUUUUCUUCAGCUGUAAGGUUGGAAUGUUUUUGACAGUGAACUGUUUACAUUCCUUACUCCCAAAGCAUCUUUACCAUGAAAUAUGCAUGCUACUUGGAUUAAAAGUUGAUGUUCUCCGCUCUAAAAUAUAAAAACUGCAUAAAGAAAAAACCCCAGUGUAAAAUGAUGAAAUAACUGACCUAACACAGUGUUGUUAGAGGCACCUUCUUUUAAACUAGUUUCAGAAUCUGACAAAAAAAAAAAAAAUCAUGCUUCGGCAUGUGACACAUCAACAAAUUCAACCCACCAAUGUUUAUUGAACGCGGUAAAAGACUGAGGGAUGUGGUUACGGAUCCUGAGGGAUGCCAUGGGAUUCAGCAAGAGUAGCUAAGUAAGAAAGCCCGAAAGCACCAAACAUUAGGUAAAGCAAACCCUCGGCUUCUCACUCGGAGAGACGGGAUACAAGGGUAAGUCCACACCUCCCCAAACAUCCAAAAUGAAAGAAAGUAUUAAAAAAAAGAAUUGGGAAAGAGAAGGGUGAAGUAAGCUGCCAAAGUUCUUCCUUAAUAAAUUAAAACUGAGGUGUUACAAACUAAUUUCAGUAACAGUCAUCUUUCCAACCGUGCCAAAAAUGAUUCCUGUUGUAAUGAUGAUCAUACAAGUAGCAGAGAAUCUAGAAAUAUUUCAACUUUUCAAAACUGAGUGAGAAAAGCAUUUUGGUAAAGAUGUGUAGAAAGGUCAAGAGAAAUUUCUACACUAGUAUCAACAGUCAAGUGCAUAUUUCUUCUAUAGAAAUGUUUUAGCAUAGGUUCCACACCACGAUCCAACGGUCACUUGUGCAGCGUCCCGACAAUGCUCCGAAUUUGUUCCCCGCAACAGAGAUUUAUGUACCACAGGAAUUUCCUCAUAGAAAUGCCCUUUAAUGAUGAACUCCUGUUGAUUAAAAAUUAGUUUUGGCAGACUAACACUUAAACUAGAGGAAAAAGAAAAUUUUGAAAUGGAAUCUUGUAAGCACCCUUAUCUACUGAAGUCUAAAUUAAUGGCUUUCUAAUUUCUCUGAAGAGCAGACUAAAUGGUAUGAGGAAGCCUGGAGUUAUUAACCAGCCAGCAUCCUUAUAUACUACAGUAGCAAUUGAACCUGAUUUCCAUUCAAAGACAUUACCCAAGAGGAAACCAAAAACUAAUUCUUAAUGUUAAUGUGAAGAUAUAAGAUUUAAAUUUAUUUCCAGGAAUUACAAGUGCAUUUUGUUAAUAUUAGCAAGCAGUCUUUAUACAAUCCAUUCUUCACUGCUGCCAAAAUAAAAUGAGAAAAAGACAGCAGAGAUAUGAAAAGCUAAAAAUAGAACUAUUUUUCCUAAGUUAUUUGUUGAAUAGCAUUUCAGUUGAACACAACUCAGAGGUAACAAUAGAUUAUUUUUUUUUCUCAAUCAUAGGCAUGUGGCACUUAGACAAUCAUCUUUGCACAGAAAGCUUUAACAGUCAUGCGAGGGCACAGUAAUUAUUUUAAACAAGGCAAAUUUCUCACCACAGAGAGCAGUGGGGAAAGAAAAGGAGGCACUGCACUGGAACAUAACACCUAGUAAACUCCACAUUAUACAAUUUCAGUAACAAAUACUUGAAAAGAUCAUUAAAAGAUAUACAAUUUUAAACGUUAUUUAGUGCUAGCUUUGUUUGGUUGUCCUAACUCAGCAUUAUCAGAAAAGUUUGAUAGUACUUGACAACAGAACAGUACUUCAUGUCACGAGCUCAUGGAGGCUUGAUUACAAAUCACCAUAGUGUAGGUUGCAAGAAAUGAACUUGAGAUGCUGACAUGCUGUAGGAGCAAAAGUAAAAUCAAACUUUCUCAUUUAAAGAUGCAGUGUUCCUCUCUGCAAGAAUUCUGAAUGUCAGUGAUUAGACUCAAACGUAAAACCUAUCAAUCCUCAUUUGAAGCACUUCAUUGGUAUGCAGGAUGUAGACUGAGUUUAUUAACAUCAUAUUUUGGUUUCUUGCUUGCCACCAGAUAGGGCUGCCUUCCCCAGAGAGCAGCACUGGCCAUGGGGUCAUCGUGCCAUUGCGGGUUUCCUACCCUUCCACCUCAGGGGAACAGAGGCUGGGGAUGCCACGCUGCUCAUAGAAACACCACUACACGGGAUCAACUUCGGGAGUGCUAGGUCUCCAACAUGGUUAAACUUUAAAUGAUCUCUUUUAGAAAA